AAACUGUCAAAGACUAACUCACACAACACCCAUUCCUCAAAUAAAGAUUCUGAAGAACCACUGCACAGUAUAAUGAAGGGAACGGCUCUGAGACCAUCCUUAAAGGCUGGAUUUCAAUGGAAGGAUCACAGUGGCUCAGCAUACCUACAUGGGUUGAAUAUCCUUUAUCAAGAAAAUGCUUGGGACCAGAAGGGUUUCAGGAGCUGUGCCUGACAAUUUUCUCUUUGAAGACCUUUAUCUCUGGAUUUAACCCAUCACCACUACAACUACCAUCACUGACUGAAUCCCCCAAAUUGGUGCAAUGGUUUACAUUGUUUCUUUUAAGGCAAUGCUAAUGUCUGUGAAAGAAUUAAAGUGAAGAGGCAAUACCUGAAAAAAUAAAAUAUUAUACACAAAUAUUUUGGAUACCUAAGAGUCACCCUACUAAAAUUCAAUAAGGAAAACAACCUUCCACCUACUGAAAUCAUACCUCCACUCCAGGCUGUAGCCAUUCCCAGCCUCCCUCCUUCACCUCAGUGGGACCCUGUUAUCCUGAUCCGCACAGCAUUAUGCUGAACUCACAAGAUAACGGGAACAGAAAAUAACCAGU
This is a long non-coding RNA of Gorilla gorilla gorilla (western lowland gorilla), 589 nucleotides long. RefSeq lists it as uncharacterized. The transcript has 6 exons. NCBI's taxonomy places the organism in Eukaryota, Metazoa, Chordata, Mammalia, Primates, Hominidae. The record is from RefSeq and is a predicted model, not a curated record.